RNAcentral lists this ribosomal RNA (253 nucleotides) under uncultured bacterium. RNAcentral describes it as "partial 16S ribosomal RNA". It matches the Rfam family "Bacterial small subunit ribosomal RNA", at positions 524 to 776 of the family's 1533-position model. The record is from RNAcentral.
UACGUAGGGGGCUAGCGUUGUCCGGAAUUACUGGGCGUAAAGCGUGCGCAGGCGGUUUUGUAAGCCAGAUGUGAAAGCCCCGGGCUUAACCUGGGAAUGGCAUUUGGGACUGCAAGGCUUGAGUGCGGCAGAGGAGACUGGAAUUCCUGGUGUAGCAGUGAAAUGCGUAGAUAUCAGGAGGAAUACCGAUGGCGAAGGCAGGUCUCUGGGCUGACACUGACGCUCAUGCACGAAAGCGUGGGGAGCAAACAGG